GACGAACGCUGGCGGCGUGCUUAACACAUGCAAGUCGAACGAAGUGGCGAACGGGUGAGUAACGCGUAAUCAACCUGCCCAUCAGAGGGGGACAACAGUUGGAAACGACUGCUAAUACCGCAUACUGAAGGAGGGGAUUGCGUCUGAUUAGUUAGUUGGAGGGGUAACGGCCAACCAAGGCGAUGAUCAGUAGCUGGUCUGAGAGGAGGAACGGCCACGUUGGGAAUGAGACACUGCCCAGACGCCUACGGGAGGAAGCAGUGGGGAAUCUGCCGCAAUUGACGAAAGUCUGACGGAGCAACGCCGCGUGAGUGAUGACGGCCUUCGGGUUGUAAAGCUCUGUUAAUCGGGACGCGGUACCGAAAUAGAAAGCCACGGGUAACUACGAGCCAGCAGCCGCGGUAAUUC
This 408-nucleotide ribosomal RNA is filed under the name uncultured bacterium. RNAcentral's name for it is "partial 16S ribosomal RNA". It matches the Rfam family "Bacterial small subunit ribosomal RNA", at positions 28 to 526 of the family's 1533-position model. The record is from RNAcentral.